GCGUUUUUCUAGCGAGCUUGGGAUAGUGAAAGCCAAGUAGAGCAAAAUGAGCAGUGGCGCUUUCUAUCAGCAAAUAGCUGAAGACAAACAGAUAAAAUGAAGUAAUAAAUUAGGGUGGAACCGCGUUUCUGACG
This 134-nucleotide small RNA is filed under the name Streptococcus salivarius 57.I. RNAcentral's name for it is "Streptococcus sRNA SpR19". It matches the Rfam family "Streptococcus sRNA SpR19". Lineage: Bacteria; Bacillati; Bacillota; Bacilli; Lactobacillales; Streptococcaceae. The record is from Rfam by way of RNAcentral.